AGCAACGGGAGAGAAAGCAACAGCAACGUCAGUUAUUCAAACUGGCUUACAGGAUCUUUGUGAAACGUGGCCGUUUCCCCACUUUUAUUCAAAUAAUUAUUUACACAUUGAAGUCGCAUUCCCUCAUUCAUUAUGUUCUGCCACUUAAAAAAAAAAACAUGCUUAGGGCUGGAGCGAUGGCUCAACGUUCGUUGCUCUUGCAGAAGACACAAGUUUGACUGCAGCGCCCACAAAAUAUCUCACAACCAUCUGUAAAUCUAGUUUCUGGGCAUCCAGCGCCCUCUUCUGGCCUCCAUCGUGCUGCCAAGCCUGAACAGCCAAGUGGAGGGAAAGAACCAAACCCUGGAAGUUGUACUUUGACCUUCACCCAUACCCUUGUACUCUGGCAUGUAAAGUAAAAAUAUUUUCAAGAUUUCAAAAA
This is a non-coding RNA of Rattus norvegicus (Norway rat), 421 nucleotides long. The record is from RefSeq and is a predicted model, not a curated record. NCBI's taxonomy places the organism in Eukaryota, Metazoa, Chordata, Mammalia, Rodentia, Muridae.